This 2358-nucleotide ribosomal RNA is filed under the name human gut metagenome. Its description in RNAcentral is "bacterial LSU rRNA". It matches the Rfam family "Bacterial large subunit ribosomal RNA", at positions 587 to 2925 of the family's 2925-position model. The record is from RNAcentral.
UCGGGUGUGACUGCGUACCUUUUGUAUAAUGGGUCAGCGACUUAUAUUCUGUAGCAAGGUUAACCGUAUAGGGGAGCCGCAGGGAAACCGAGUCUUAACUGGGCGUUAAGUUGCAGGGUAUAGACCCGAAACCCGGUGAUCUAGCCAUGGGCAGGUUGAAGGUUGGGUAACACUAACUGGAGGACCGAACCGACUAAUGUUGAAAAAUUAGCGGAUGACUUGUGGCUGGGGGUGAAAGGCCAAUCAAACCGGGAGAUAGCUGGUUCUCCCCGAAAGCUAUUUAGGUAGCGCCUCGUGAAUUCAUCUUCGGGGGUAGAGCACUGUUUCGGCUAGGGGGUCAUCCCGACUUACCAACCCGAUGCAAACUACGAAUACCGAAGAAUGUUAUCACGGGAGACACACGGCGGGUGCUAACGUCCGUCGUGAAGAGGGAAACAACCCAGACCGCCAGCUAAGGUCCCAAAGUCAUGGUUAAGUGGGAAACGAUGUGGGAAGGCACAGACAGCCAGGAUGUUGGCUUAGAAGCAGCCAUCAUUUAAAGAAAGCGUAAUAGCUCACUGGUCGAGUCGGCCUGCGCGGAAGAUGUAACGGGGCUAAACCAUGCACCGAAGCUGCGGCAGCGACACUAUGUGUUGUUGGGUAGGGGAGCGUUCUGUAAGCCUGCGAAGGUGACCUGUGAGGGUUGCUGGAGGUAUCAGAAGUGCGAAUGCUGACAUAAGUAACGAUAAAGCGGGUGAAAAGCCCGCUCGCCGGAAGACCAAGGGUUCCUGUCCAACGUUAAUCGGGGCAGGGUGAGUCGACCCCUAAGGCGAGGCCGAAAGGCGUAGUCGAUGGGAAACAGGUUAAUAUUCCUGUACUUGGUGUUACUGCGAAGGGGGGACGGAGAAGGCUAUGUUAGCCGGGCGACGGUUGUCCCGGUUUAAGCAUGUAGGCUGGUUGUCCAGGCAAAUCCGGAUAAUCAAGGCUGAGGUGUGAUGACGAGGCACUACGGUGCUGAAGUAACAAAUGCCCUGCUUCCAGGAAAAGCCUCUAAGCAUCAGGUAACAUCAAAUCGUACCCCAAACCGACACAGGUGGUCAGGUAGAGAAUACCAAGGCGCUUGAGAGAACUCGGGUGAAGGAACUAGGCAAAAUGGUGCCGUAACUUCGGGAGAAGGCACGCUGGUGUGUAGGUGAAGCCCCUGCGGGUGGAGCUGAGACCAGUCGAAGAUACCAGCUGGCUGCAACUGUUUAUUAAAAACACAGCACUGUGCAAACACGAAAGUGGACGUAUACGGUGUGACGCCUGCCCGGUGCCGGAAGGUUAAUUGAUGGGGUUAUCCGUAAGGAGAAGCUCUUGAUCGAAGCCCCGGUAAACGGCGGCCGUAACUAUAACGGUCCUAAGGUAGCGAAAUUCCUUGUCGGGUAAGUUCCGACCUGCACGAAUGGCGUAAUGAUGGCCAGGCUGUCUCCACCCGAGACUCAGUGAAAUUGAACUCGCUGUGAAGAUGCAGUGUACCCGCGGCAAGACGGAAAGACCCCGUGAACCUUUACUAUAGCUUGACACUGAACAUUGAGCCUUGAUGUGUAGGAUAGGUGGGAGGCUUUGAAGCGUGGACGCCAGUCUGCGUGGAGCCAACCUUGAAAUACCACCCUUUAAUGUUUGAUGUUCUAACGUUGGCCCCUGACCGGGGUUGCGGACAGUGUCUGGUGGGUAGUUUGACUGGGGCGGUCUCCUCCCAAAGCGUAACGGAGGAGCACGAAGGUUAGCUAAUCCUGGUCGGACAUCAGGAGGUUAGUGCAAUGGCAUAAGCUAGCUUGACUGCGAGCGUGACGGCGCGAGCAGGUGCGAAAGCAGGUCAUAGUGAUCCGGUGGUUCUGAAUGGAAGGGCCAUCGCUCAACGGAUAAAAGGUACUCCGGGGAUAACAGGCUGAUACCGCCCAAGAGUUCAUAUCGACGGCGGUGUUUGGCACCUCGAUGUCGGCUCAUCACAUCCUGGGGCUGAAGUAGGUCCCAAGGGUAUGGCUGUUCGCCAUUUAAAGUGGUACGCGAGCUGGGUUUAGAACGUCGUGAGACAGUUCGGUCCCUAUCUGCCGUGGGCGCUGGAGAAUUGAGGGGGGCUGCUCCUAGUACGAGAGGACCGGAGUGGACGCAUCACUGGUGUUCGGGUUGUCAUGCCAAUGGCACUGCCCGGUAGCUAAAUGCGGAAGAGAUAAGUGCUGAAAGCAUCUAAGCACGAAACUUGCCCCGAGAUGAGUUCUCCCUGAGACUUUAAGUCUCCUGAAGGAACGUUGAAGACGACGACGUUGAUAGGCCGGGUGUGUAAGCGCAGCGAUGCGUUGAGCUAACCGGUACUAAUGAACCGUGAGGCUUAACCUU